AGUAAGUAACAUGUAAUUCCUAAUCUGAUAUACUUUACUUGUGGAAGCUCAUUCAGUGUAUCUUGAAGCCCAGUGAGGAUUUCUAUUGACAGUGGUAGGCAUUAGAUUGAUAUGAUUAGAGAGAAGAAAGAAGACAUUUCAUACAAAAUACUGUAAUAACUGAAAAUUAAGAUAAACAGAAAUUAGACUGUUUUGAAGUCCUGAGCAAUGUUCUUCAUUCCUAUGGCUGUGGCUAACAUGGAAGUAGAAGUGGCUUUCAGAGUUGAAGACAGGGAGCUAAGAAAAACAAAAAUUGUCAUGACUGACAAAAAAAAUAAUGAUAAAAAUAGACAAUUACUGGAGAGAAAUACAUUCUUGCUUUUCCAGAGUAUUUUAGAACCUCAAGAAAUGACAUACCUGUUCACUGCUGAAGAGAUUUUGUCCAUGUUUGAGGACCAUAAUGAUAGUCUCUGUGUGAAUUUUUUACAAUAAAAGUUACCUUUUUUUACAGUACCCAAAAAAUUUGUCUUCUAUAAACUACUACAAAAGCAAUGAAAGAAUUCUUCAUAAUAAAAUACAUCUUAAUCUUUUUCCUCUUGAAGUGUUUUCCAAAAAAUAUUUUAAUCAACUCUAACCUCUUUUCAAGCUUAUCAAACACAGUAACUCAGUAGAAGUAACAAUGCAGCUCAACGUAGAUCAUUCAUGCAUAAUUUAUAUUUGUUCUUUUAAAAGGGAAUGUUUUUACCUAAAAAAAAAAAUAAAAAUAUAGAACUAGUUUUUCAAAGUAAUUUCACUUAUUUCUACAGUAUUUUCUCUAUACAAAGCAAGAAAUCAGCCAAUAUUAUCAGGUGAACAGAUGUGGUAGCAUAUGAAAGGACCAGCCAACUGCCAAUUAAAUUGGGGAAAUAAUGAUGAAGCAAACAAUAUUUGAAAAUGCAUUUCUUUGUAUUAUAUAUCUCACUUCAAGACACUGAAAGGAAGGAGGGAAUAGGAAACUGCUUAGAUGAUUUCCUAUUCUUUAACUUUAAAUGCAAUGUUCCUCUCUAUAAAAGGACAAUUGUACAAAGCUAUAGAUACCCUAUACCCUGACUUUAAGGCGAUUUUUGACAUGGUUUUGCAUGAUAUAAGGUAGCAGGGUAUAAAUUGAAUUACUAGGAGACACAUGCAAAACAAUAGUUAUCAACUCCCAAACCAGAAAGGGCAUCUGUCUUUUCUGGGUUUAGAAAAAUCAAGUAAUUAUUGUUAAGUAGUUGGAUGAAACUAAGCGUACAUUUAGAAGAUGUUCUAUGCAUCUGGAAAAGUCAAGGGCUGCAGUUAAAAACAAUUGUGAAAAACUGAAGAAAUGUAAGGAAAAGCAAUAUACAAUUCAGUAUUCUGCAGAACAAGGUCUGGGUUUUGACUUCAUGUUGGGAUGCACAAACAAGUAUUCUGUCACUAUGUUACAAAAAAUAAACUAUCCAGUCUUCAGGCUCCAGAAAGGGAAUUUUGUUUGCUACCACUGCCCCCCAAGAAAGAUGUAAAAGACUAGACAGAGCCUAGGAGAGUUCAAGGAGAAAAUGAUCAGAUUAGGAGACUUAAACUUUUAGGAAAAAAAUUAUAGUACAAAUUUUUAGUUUAGAAAAGGAAAAGCUAAAAGACAGUGUAAGAUGUCCAGGUAUGUAAAACAUGCAUGCAGAUAACUUUUCAAAUUAAGGGAGAGAAACCUAUUUAUAUGCUGUAAAUUAGCAAUAAGGAAAAAAGUUUCACCAAAUUUAAUUAUUAAGAUAAUCUUUAUAGAAUCAUAGGGAAAAAAAUGCUAGAAGAGGUUGCAAAGGGGAAACUGUGCAAUCACUGUAGUUGAAGAUUUUUUGGUGUUUAGACCACCUUCAGCUACAUGCUGGUACAUAGUCUUACAAAAACCAGCCUCAUUUGCAAAAAAAAAAUUGCAGCUACUCCAUCAGUAAACACAGAUGGAUGCCAAGGGAAAAAUUAAGCAUAUGACUAGGAAGGAUGUGUGAGCUGAACAACCAUCUCCUGACAGUUUAGUUUAAUGGUAAGUGGUUUCACAUCACUGGGAGAUAUGAAACCAUGUGUGUGUCUCUGGUAGUUCAUGGAUUAAAUUGAUUUUGUGCUUCUCCAACCGCUAAGGAUUACAACAAAAGAAGGUCAUUGCGGGAAAUUCAGCAACAUACAUUAAUGAGAGGAAGACAGAUUUCUGGAUUUUUUUCCUGAGGUGACAUUUAUAUAUAAGUUUAACAGGUUUGAAAUCAGUUUGUUCCCAAGGAGAUACUUCUAGAGAAGCGAAUUUUUUCUAAAGUCCAUCCAGUAUAAUCUUUUUAAACCAGAAGUAAAAUGGCAGGCAAAUGGAUAGUCCAUUAAUUGGCUUUGUAGAUCUCAAAAAUUUGAGCUGUUCUCUGUCCAUCCACUUCUUCCUUUUUUCUCAAAAAAAAAAA
This is a long non-coding RNA of Taeniopygia guttata (zebra finch), 2411 nucleotides long. NCBI's taxonomy places the organism in Eukaryota, Metazoa, Chordata, Aves, Passeriformes, Estrildidae. The record is from Ensembl.